AAUUGUAAGCCGCCACCUCAUUUAAAUGUUUUCCUUUAUAAGAGUUGCUGUGGUCAUGGUGUCUCUUAACAACAAUAGAAACCCUAACUAAGUCACAUGGUAUUAAAGAGAGAUGACUCAAUUAAGGGGCCACAAACCAAGGUAGAACUGAAAUACUUGAGAACUAAAAAAAAUGAGAAAAGAGUAAUUUGAGUUGAAGUGUGCUUAAGUCUUUCAAGGGAAAGUACUAUUGAAUUUUAGAUUUUAAUAAGUAUACAUGAAAAAAAGAAUAACUGGUAAAAAGAAGAAAUAAAACAAAUAAAGAAACAGAAAAAUGAGCUAAAGAGAAGAUUAAUUUUAAAAAGGUCAGAAAAAGAAAACUUAAAAAAGGCAAAGAGGAGCAGAAAAUAAGAUGAUAGAAAGUCAAAUAUAUUAGGAAUACGUAAAUCCAGUAAAUGUAAAUGAUAUCCAGCUAAUAAACAAAGUUUGUCUUCUUGGUAGAAAUCAACGAGCAACCAUCUGUUCCUACUCUGGCUAAAUGAUGUUUGCUCAGGAGACUGUAAAAUAUAUAGGCUCAGGAAGACUGAAGACACAGGGUUUGAAAACAAAAUGUGAAUAUAAGAUUGAGGGUGAUCCCCACAUUGUCAAGUCCAGCCAUAUUUAGUUUAGUUAGUGCUUUCAGACAAGUUGUAUUUACUCUACUAAUGCAAUGUUGGUGUAAUAUAUUGAAAGACAUUCACCACAUCCUAAUAUUAAGUCAAAAGAUUGAAACUACAAAUGAUCUCAAUAGACUCAGAAAAAAAAACCACUUGAUAAAAUACCAUUAUGAUAAGACAUGGUAGUUGCUAUGGUUUGUAUGGGGCCUUAGUUAGAGUUUCUGUUGCUGUGAAGAUUCUAUGACCAUGGCAACUCUUACAAAGGAAAAAAAUUAACAGAAUGGCUUACAGUUCCAGAAAUUUAAUCCAUCAUCAUGAUAGUAUGACAUGGUGUUGUGUAGGCAGACAUGGCACUGGAGCUGAGAGUCCUACAUCUUGAUUGGCAAGCAACAGGAAGUGGUCUGUAUCACUGGGUGUAGCUUGAGCAUAUGUGAACUCAAAGCCUGCCUCCACAGUGACACACUUCUUCCAACAAGACCACACUGACUCUGUGACUUAAGAUCCAAAUAAAUGAAGAAGUGGGAGAAAUCAAUGCCAUGAGGUGGCUGACUAGACCUCAUGCAUCUGCACAACCCUCAGUGGUAACAGGAGCCAUGGACAACAACUUAGACCUCAGCUGCUGCAGUGCCAUCGACUCAGACACAGCAACUUGGCCCAGAUGUCAUCAAGGCCCUUGGUGGCAGUGCAGGGCACUCAGAUCAGCAUGGUCCCAAUGGCGUCACAGCUCUCGGACACCAGCAUGACUACAGGAGCAAUGGCAAUCCACAGCUUAGAGUGAAGUUACAUGUUGGAGCAAGGCCUGUGCAAGGAAAAGGCUGAAACACUCCUCAUAGACACAAAGGAAAACCUGGAGAAAUGGAAAGACCAUGUUUUUGGCCAGGAAGACUCAACACCGUAAAGCUGUCAAUUCUCCCUAAGUACAUUUCUAAAUUUAAUGUGAUCCCAAUAAAAUACCAACAGUUUUUUUUAACCCAGACAAGCUGAAUUCUAAAGUUCAUGUGAAAAAAAAUGAAGAAAUAAAAACAUUAAGAAAAACUCCGAAAAGAAGAGUAAUAUCAGUGGAUUCAUUCAAGCAGAUACUAAAACAUAUUAAAAGUCUCAGUAAUUGAAACCAUGAGGAACUGAUGCAUGAAGAGCGAGACAGGCCAAUCAACCAUAAUAGAAAGCCCAGAAAUAGAAGCAAAUAUGCACGUGGGAUAUUAGUGUACCAAAAGAGUGUCUCUAAAAUCAGUGAGAGAAAUGAUUAACUGUCCAAUAAAUGUGGCUGGGGUCACUGGUUGGCCAUGUGGAAAAAUGAUAAAGUUAGCGUCAAACUUAUGAUUGUCUACCAGGACAAAUUCCAAGUGGAUUGAGGACUGAGGAGCAAAAACUAUGUCACCAACAUCCCAGAAGAAAACAUGAGAAAAGCUGUUUAUAAACUCAGAGUAAGAAAGCUCUUUCAAACCGCGACUCAAGAAGAGAGGGCAUCAGAGGGGAAAAACAGAGAAAUUAAGCUACAUUAAGGAACACUUUAUAUCAACACAGAGAGUGAAAAGUAACUAAUUGGCUGAUAAACUCAUAUUUCGUCAAAGGACUGAUUUCCCUGAUUUAUGAAGUGGUUUUAGAAUCAGCGAGAUAAAGGAGCAAGGGCCCAGAAGAAAAUGCCCACAAGGCAGAGGCAAGCAUUCAGUGAAGGGUCUGCUUGCUUGUGAUCACAGAAUUAAUGCAGAUUAAAACUAUGCAGAGAUCCAAGUUUCAUGCGAGAAUGAGAAGAAACACCCAAGAGCCUGAGGACAUAUCCUUUCUGCGAGGAUAUGUGAUGGUUAAUAUUGCCUGUCAACCUGGUAGGCUCUGGAGUUACCUAGGGGACAAACCUCUGGACACACAGGAAAGUCAAAUGUGAGUUCUCAGCUACUGCUCCAGUACUAUGCCUGCCUGCCUGAUGCCAUGCUCCCUGCAAGAAGUUCAUGGACUCACCCUCUUACCUGUAAGCAAAACCCUAAUUCUACGCCUUCGUUAUAAGUUGCCUUAUCAUGGUGUCUUCUUACAGCAAUAAAACAGUAACUAAGACAGUUUCUACCUUUCUAUUUGGCUCUGUAUGAAUGCACCACAUUACUUGAUCAGUAAUUAAGCACUUUAUUUAUUUAAAUUGAAAAAAUUUUAUACAGUGUAUUCUGAUCACCUUUCCCCCUCCCCCAAUUCCUCCCA
This is a non-coding RNA of Peromyscus maniculatus bairdii (prairie deer mouse), 2822 nucleotides long. NCBI's taxonomy places the organism in Eukaryota, Metazoa, Chordata, Mammalia, Rodentia, Cricetidae. The record is from RefSeq and is a predicted model, not a curated record.